Molecule: ribosomal RNA, 465 nt
Filed under: uncultured bacterium
Lineage: Bacteria
Description: partial 16S ribosomal RNA
Rfam family: Bacterial small subunit ribosomal RNA
Source: RNAcentral
GACGAACGCUGGCGGCGUGCUUAACACAUGCAAGUCGAACGGAAAGGCCCUGCUUGCAGGGUACUCGAGUGGCGAACGGGUGAGUAACACGUGGGUGAUCUGCCCUGCACUUCGGGAUAAGCCUGGGAAACUGGGUCUAAUACCGGAUAGGAGCCAUUUUUAGUGUGAUGGUUGGAAAGUUUUUUCGGUGUAGGAUGAGCUCGCGGCCUAUCAGCUUGUUGGUGGGGUAAUGGCCUACCAAGGCGGCGACGGGUAGCCGGCCUGAGAGGGUGGACGGCCACAUUGGGACUGAGAUACGGCCCAGACUCCUACGGGAGGCAUCAGUGGGGAAUAUUGCACAAUGGGCGCAAGCCUGAUGCAGCGACGCCGCGUGGGGGAUGACGGCCUUCGGGUUGUAAACGCCUUUCGCUAGGGACGAAGCUUUUUGUGACGGUACCUAGAUAAGAAGCACCGGCUAACUACGUG